This 377-nucleotide ribosomal RNA is filed under the name uncultured marine bacterium. Its description in RNAcentral is "bacterial SSU rRNA". It matches the Rfam family "Bacterial small subunit ribosomal RNA", at positions 134 to 490 of the family's 1533-position model. The record is from RNAcentral.
UGGUCUGGGAUAACCCCGGGAAACUGGAGCUAAUACCAGAUAAGACCACGACGUCUCCGGACGAUGUGGGAAAAGAUGGCCUCUCCUUGGAAGCUGUCGCCAAUUGAUGAGUCCGCGUACCAUUAGCUAGUUGGUGAGGUAAAGGCUCACCAAGGCGACGAUGGUUAGCUGGUCUGAGAGGAUGAUCAGCCACACUGGAACUGAGACACGGUCCAGACUCCUACGGGAGGCAGCAGUCGGGAAUCUUGGGCAAUGGGGGAAACCCUGACCCAGCAACUCCGCCUGAGGGAUGAAGGCCUUCGGGUCGUAAACCUCUGUCGGGAGGGAAGAAAAUCUCGUCGUGAAUAUCUUCGAGGAUGACGGGACCUCCAAAGAAG